This is a long non-coding RNA of Varanus komodoensis (Komodo dragon), 2951 nucleotides long. RefSeq lists it as uncharacterized. The transcript has 2 exons. The record is from RefSeq and is a predicted model, not a curated record. Lineage: Eukaryota; Metazoa; Chordata; Lepidosauria; Squamata; Varanidae.
CAGCCGCGCUCGCGCGCGGCGGCAGGGACGCAAUGUAAAGAGGGGGUGUUACGAGAAGCCAUGGCAACUGUAACCGGGGCGCGAGGAGCGGGAUGCAACUUAGCAUUUGUAGCACUGGGCUACGGUGUACCCACACAAAAAGAGCCUGCAAGCCAAUAUACUGUGUAACGUUAUUAAAAACGCAGGCAGACAGCUGGACGGACGGCGCUGGAAGGCUCCUGCAUCCCAGGCAAGUCUGGCACAAACCAUUUCGUCGCCCCCACGCGAACGUGUCGCCGCCGCAAAUCCCGAUAGAACUUAGAGAGCCCGCUCACUGGAAUACAGAGGAGCGGCCACCGGCCCUUUCUCCGCUACACCAUAGAAAAUAGGUCGCUUGGGUGGCAAGCAGGCUUGUGUUUCACCCCACUCUGACCUCAGGCACGGCUAAUGGAUACCCCAUGAGAGGGCGUGCACGCAUCUGCCCAAGUUGAGAUAAUGUUCCGUGCCUCGGAUGAAGUCGACCGUGAAAGACUUACGAAUUUGUUCAUCUCAAAGAGAAUGGGUGUGUCUUUCAAGAAGAAUGGUCUUGGAACUGAUCAGAUUUUUUCAUGGAAUCAAAGAGAGGGGAGGUGAUCCUGGAUUUAUUCCUGAUUGGUGCUGCCUAGGACCUUGUACAAGAUGCGAGUGCUGCUGAACCGGUUAGAAAUAGUGACCAUAGUGUUACCAGAUUUAAGUGGAAAAUUGCCAAAGAAGUCUAACCCAAUCGCAUUUGACUUCCAUUGAGGAAUAUUGUCCAUAAUAUUAAAAAGGAAGUUGAAAGGGAGGGGCAAUAGGGUUAAAUCUCUUCGAAACGCAUGGAGGUCACUCCAGCCAUGUUAACAGGAGCUCUGCCAGAAUGGAUUCCACAGGUUAGGAAAGGUCGCACUAAGUCGAAAUGGUUAUCAACAUAGUUAACAAGUCUAUGAAAGAAGUGAAAGGAGAAAAGAAGGCUUUCUUCAUAAAACAGAAGUCUUGCCCAAAUGAGAACAGAAAAGAGUCACCAUGCAAACAAAAAGUUGCAUGAAGGAGAUGCAGCAGACUGUAAAAAUGCAAAGUAGUGUUUUGAGAAGCUUAUUUUUUUAUCAAUACGAAGGUCAACAAUAAAGAAAUCUUUUAAGGGUGCAAUCCUUUAUAUAUUUAAACAGAAAAAAGUCCAUCAACUCCUAGCAUUCCCAGCUUGCUGGUUGUUGUAGAACUUUCUUCUCCACACCAUGCAUAGUAUCACACUCUAAAUAUAUUGAAAGAAGGAAACCAGCUAGGGUGGCAGUUGGAUUGUUGUAUGACAAUGGAGUUAAAGGAGCACUAAGAAAGAAUAAGGAGACUGUAGGGAAACCGAAUUCUUUUCAUCUAUUUUCCCUGCAGAGGAUGUAGGUAGGACACCUGUGCUUGAAGUAAUGUUUUCAGGAAGAGCAUCUGAGGAACUGAGGCAAACAAUGGUGACAAACAAUUAAGUUUUCAAUUUUAUUAAUAAGCUGAAUGUUAAUAAAUCAGGAUGUUACCCAAGUCAAGAUAUUAUCCAUUCUAGAGUUCUUAAAAAACUCAAAUAUGAAAUUGUAGAACUUCUAACAUAAAUAUGAAACAUACGCCUCAGAUUAACCUCUGUACCGGGGACUGUGGAACAGCCAACGUAAUGCCAGUUAGCAAAAAGAUGUCAGGGGGAAUCAAGGAAAUUACAGGCCAGUCAACUGAAUGUAUGUUUCUGGUAUACUAGUCAAAGGCAUUGCCAGAGAUAAAAUCAGUGAGCAUAUGAAAGGCAAACUGUACUAAAAAAGAAUCAACAUGGGUUUAGCAAAUGUAAGUCUCACUAAUCUUUUAAACUUCUUUGAGGCAGUCAGUAAAGAUGUGGACGGAGAUGAUUUGGUAGACAUCAUUUACUUGGGCUUUCAAGUGCUUUUGAGAAAGCCUCUCGCCACAGACUCCUGAGCAAACUUAGCAGUCAUAGAAAAAAAGAGGAGAGGGCCUCUUAUUGAUUGAACUGGUUAACAGAAAACAGAUAACAGUUAUGAAUUAUACAUCAUCCCAAAGGAGGGAUGUAAACAGUAUGGUCUCACAGGGAUUUGAAUUGAGACCAACGUAUGGCAUUCAAAUAUAAGCUGAGUGUUAUUCUUAUGAAGACCUACAAUGCCAGUAAGAAACUGGGGUCUCAGUCUAGUUGUUAACAAGUGUAUCCUAAUCUAACUUCUGUGAGGGAAACAUCAAGAAAAAAUAGUGUGCCUGUUGAUUCUUGGUAUGGGUUCAAUUACCCAUUCUCACCCAUCCUAGGUUUUCAAGAGGGUGUUGAAUCAGGCUUAACUCUGAUUGUCAACAAGAAUUGUGAAAAUCGUGUCAUGAUUGAUAAUAUCAGCUGGUUCAGAAUAGAGCAUUGCAUUUGUUAACAUGAACUGGCUUGCAUGCCCAUGUUACACCAAUUCCUUACCAACUACAUUGGCUAGCAGUUGAGCUCUGGGCCCAAUUUAAAGUGCUUGUUAUGACAUAUAAAACCCUAAAUGGCUUGGGACCGGGAUCCCUGAAGGAACACCUAGUCCCAUAUGUUCCUACCCAGCCACCAAGAUCAGCUACAGAGGUCCUUCUUAGGAACCACCCCCUAAAGAGGUGAGGGGGUGGCAAACAGGAGAAGGGCCUUUCUGGUAGUUGUACCCCAUCUAUGGAAUAUGCUUCCCCCAAGAACUACACCUGUUUGGCACCAGGUAAAGACGUUUUUAUUCACAAGACAUUUUAAGAAUUGCUGAAUGAAUAUUUUGUAUUUUUAUCACUGCUAUUCCUGAGGGAAUUUUAUUGACUGUUAUCUAUCAGAGUAUAUUGUACUUUACUUUAUGAAUUUUUAUUGUAUUAACUUUUAUCAUAUGAAUUUUAUUGUUAUAUAUUUGUUUUGGAUUGUACACCAGCCAAAGAGCCCAGAGUUUAUAAAUGUAAUAAAUAAAUACAUAAACAUC